This 406-nucleotide ribosomal RNA is filed under the name uncultured bacterium. Its description in RNAcentral is "partial 16S ribosomal RNA". It matches the Rfam family "Bacterial small subunit ribosomal RNA", at positions 29 to 526 of the family's 1533-position model. The record is from RNAcentral.
AUUGAACGCUGGCGGCAGGCCUAACACAUGCAAGUCGAACGAGUGGCGGACGGGUGAGUAAUGUCUGGGAAACUGCCUGAUGGAGGGGGAUAACUACUGGAAACGGUAGCUAAUACCGCAUACCAUCGGAUGUGCCCAGAUGGGAUUAGCUAGUAGGUGGGGUAAAGGCUCACCUAGGCGACGAUCCCUAGCUGGUCUGCGAGGAUGACAGGAACACAUGGAACGGAGACAGGGCCCAGACUCCGACGGGAGGCAGCAGUGGGGAAUAUGUAACAAUGGGCGAAAGCCUGAUGCAGCCAUGCCGCGUGUAUGAAGAAGGCCUUCGGGUGGUAAGUUACUUUCAGCGGGGAGGCGUUACCCGCAGAAGAAGCACCGGCUAACUCCGUGCCAGCAGCCGCGGUAAUUC